CAGUGUGACUCGUCACACUAUCAUUAACUGAAUCCAUAGGUUAAUGAGGCGAACCGGGGGAACUGAAACAUCUAAGUACCCCGAGGAAAAGAAAUCAACCGAGAUUCCCCCAGUAGCGGCGAGCGAACGGGGAGGAGCCCAGAGCCUGAAUCAGCAUGUGUGUUAGUGGAAGCGUCUGGAAAGGCGCGCGAUACAGGGUGACAGCCCCGUACACAAAAGCGCAUGUGCUGUGAGCUCGAUGAGUAGGGCGGGACACGUGGUAUCCUGUCUGAAUAUGGGGGGACCAUCCUCCAAGGCUAAAUACUCCUGACUGACCGAUAGUGAACCAGUACCGUGAGGGAAAGGCGAAAAGAACCCCGGCGAGGGGAGUGAAAAAGAACCUGAAACCGUGUACGUACAAGCAGUGGGAGCACCCUUUGGGGUGUGACUGCGUACCUUUUGUAUAAUGGGUCAGCGACUUAUAUUCUGUAGCAAGGUUAACCGUAUAGGGGAGCCGGAGGGAAACCGAGUCUUAAUUGGGCGUUAAGUUGCAGGGUAUAGACCCGAAACCCGGUGAUCUAGCCAUGGGCAGGUUGAAGGUUGGGUAACACUAACUGGAGGACCGAACCGACUAAUGUUGAAAAAUUAGCGGAUGACCUGUGGCUGGGGGUGAAAGGCCAAUCAAACCGGGAGAUAGCUGGUUCUCCCCGAAAGCUAUUUAGGUAGCGCCUCGUGAAUUCAUCUCCGGGGGUAGAGCACUGUUUCGGCUAGGGGGCCAUCCCGGCUUACCAACCCGAUGCAAACUGCGAAUACCGGAGAAUGUUAUCACGGGAGACACACGGCGGGUGCUAACGUCCGUCGUGAAGAGGGAAACAACCCAGACCGCCAGCUAAGGUCCCAAAGUCAUGGUUAAGUGGGAAACGAUGUGGGAAGGCCCAGACAGCCAGGAUGUUGGCUUAGAAGCAGCCAUCAUUUAAAGAAAGCGUAAUAGCUCACUGGUCGAGUCGGCCUGCGCGGAAGAUGUAACGGGGCUAAACCAUGCACCGAAGCUGCGGCAGCGACGCUUAUGCGUUGUUGGGUAGGGGAGCGUUCUGUAAGCCUGUGAAGGUGUGUCGUGAGGCAUGCUGGAGGUAUCAGAAGUGCGAAUGCUGACAUAAGUAACGAUAAAGCGGGUGAAAAGCCCGCUCGCCGGAAGACCAAGGGUUCCUGUCCAACGUUAAUCGGGGCAGGGUGAGUCGACCCCUAAGGCGAGGCCGAAAGGCGUAGUCGAUGGGAAACGGGUUAAUAUUCCCGUACUUGGUGUUACUGCGAAGGGGGGACGGAGAAGGCUAUGUUGGCCGGGCGACGGUUGUCCCGGUUUAAGCGUGUAGGUGUGUGUUCCAGGUAAAUCCGGUUCACUUUAACACUGAGGCGUGACGACGAGGCACUACGGUGCUGAAGCAACAAAUGCCCUGCUUCCAGGAAAAGCCUCUAAGCAUCAGGUAACAUCAAAUCGUACCCCAAACCGACACAGGUGGUCAGGUAGAGAAUACCAAGGCGCUUGAGAGAACUCGGGUGAAGGAACUAGGCAAAAUGGUGCCGUAACUUCGGGAGAAGGCACGCUGACACGUAGGUGAAGUGAUUUACUCAUGGAGCUGAAGUCAGUCGAAGAUACCAGCUGGCUGCAACUGUUUAUUAAAAACACAGCACUGUGCAAACACGAAAGUGGACGUAUACGGUGUGACGCCUGCCCGGUGCCGGAAGGUUAAUUGAUGGGGUCAGCGCAAGCGAAGCUCCUGAUCGAAGCCCCGGUAAACGGCGGCCGUAACUAUAACGGUCCUAAGGUAGCGAAAUUCCUUGUCGGGUAAGUUCCGACCUGCACGAAUGGCGUAAUGAUGGCCAGGCUGUCUCCACCCGAGACUCAGUGAAAUUGAACUCGCUGUGAAGAUGCAGUGUACCCGCGGCAAGACGGAAAGACCCCGUGAACCUUUACUAUAGCUUGACACUGAACAUUGAGCCUUGAUGUGUAGGAUAGGUGGGAGGCUUUGAAGCGUGGACGCCAGUCUGCGUGGAGCCGACCUUGAAAUACCACCCUUUAAUGUUU
Molecule: ribosomal RNA, 2062 nt
Filed under: Salmonella enterica subsp. enterica serovar Abony
Lineage: Bacteria; Pseudomonadati; Pseudomonadota; Gammaproteobacteria; Enterobacterales; Enterobacteriaceae
Description: partial 23S ribosomal RNA
Rfam family: Bacterial large subunit ribosomal RNA
Source: RNAcentral